AGUGAACGCUGGCGGUAGGCCUAACACAUGCAAGUCGAACGGCAGCACAGUAAGAGCUUGCUCUUACGGGUGGCGAGUGGCGGACGGGUGAGGAAUACAUCGGAAUCUACUUUUUCGUGGGGGAUAACGUAGGGAAACUUACGCUAAUACCGCAUACGACCUACGGGUGAAAGCAGGGGAUCUUCGGACCUUGCGCGAUUGAAUGGGCCGAUGUCGGAUUAGCUAGUUGGCGGGGUAAAGGCCCACCAAGGCGACGAUCCGUAGCUGGUCUGAGCGGAUGAGCGGACACAGUGGGACGUAGACAAGGACCAGGCUACCGCGGGAGGCCGCAGUGGGGAAUGUUGGAGAAGGGGCGUAAGCGUGAUCCAGCCGUGUCGCGUGAGGGAAGAAGGCCUUCGGGUUGUACCACGGUUUUGGUCGGGAAGAAAGACUCUGGGCUAAUACAACGGGGGGAUGACGGUAGUGGAAGAAUAAGCACCGGCUAACUUCGUG
RNAcentral lists this ribosomal RNA (492 nucleotides) under uncultured bacterium. RNAcentral's name for it is "partial 16S ribosomal RNA". It matches the Rfam family "Bacterial small subunit ribosomal RNA", at positions 30 to 507 of the family's 1533-position model. The record is from RNAcentral.